AGUUCAAAGAUUAUUUAUUUUGAAUGUAUUCUGCCCAAUGAAUUUUUUAAUGGCCGCAGUACCUUGACUGUGCUAAGGUAGCAUAAUCAAUUGGCUUUUAAUUUGAGUCUGGAAUGAAUGGAAAAAUGAAAUAAUUCUGUCUUAAUAGAGAUUUUCUUAAUUUAUUUAAAUAGUGAAAAUACUAUUUCUUAGAAAAAAGACGAGAAGACCCUUAGAGUUUUUAUAAAUUUAUUAUUAUUUUUUGUUGGGGCGACAAAUAAACAUAUAACUUUAUAAAUUAAAUACAUCGAUUAUUAUAAAAAUAAUUAAACUACCUUAGGGAUAACAGCAUUAUUUUUUAAAAUGAUUGUGACCUCGAUGUUGGACUAGGAACUUUAUGGCUAACCGUCAAAUAAGAUUUGUUCUGUUCGAACAAUAUUAUCCUAC
RNAcentral lists this ribosomal RNA (426 nucleotides) under Biomphalaria schrammi. Its description in RNAcentral is "partial 16S ribosomal RNA". The record is from RNAcentral. Lineage: Eukaryota; Metazoa; Mollusca; Gastropoda; Planorbidae.